This 433-nucleotide ribosomal RNA is filed under the name uncultured bacterium. Its description in RNAcentral is "partial 16S ribosomal RNA". It matches the Rfam family "Bacterial small subunit ribosomal RNA", at positions 29 to 507 of the family's 1533-position model. The record is from RNAcentral.
AACGAACGCUGGCGGCAGGCCUAACACAUGCAAGUCGAGCGAGGACUUCGGUCCUAGCGGCGGACGGGUGAGUAACGCGUGGGAACGUGCCCUUUGCUUCGGAAUAGCCCUGGGAAACUGGGAGUAAUACCGGAUGAGCCCUUUGGGGGAAAGAUUUAUCGGCGAAGGAUCGGCCCGCGUUGGAUUAGGUAGUUGGUGGGGUAAUGGCCUACCAAGCCGACGAUCCAUAGCUGGUUUGAGAGGAUGAUCAGCCACACUGGGACUGAGACACGGCCCAGACUCCUACGGGAGGCAGCAGUGGGGAAUCUUAGACAAUGGGGGAAACCCUGAUCUAGCCAUGCCGCGUGAGCGAUGAAGGCCUUAGGGUUGUAAAGCUCUUUCAGCUGGGAAGAUAAUGACGGUACCGGCAGAAGAAGCCCCGGCUAGCUCCGUG